UACGUAGGGCGCAAGCGUUGUCCGGAAUUAUUGGGCGUAAAGAGCUCGUAGGCGGCCAGUUGCGUCCGCUGUGAAAUCCCGGGGCUUAACCCCGGGCGUGCAGUGGAUACGGGCUGGCUAGAGGCAGGCAGGGGAGAACGGAAUUCCCGGUGUAGCGGUGAAAUGCGCAGAUAUCAGGAGGAACACCGGUGGCGAAGGCGGGUCUCUGGGCCGAUACUGACGCUGAGGAGCGAAAGCGUGGGGAGCGAACAGG
Molecule: ribosomal RNA, 253 nt
Filed under: uncultured bacterium
Lineage: Bacteria
Description: partial 16S ribosomal RNA
Rfam family: Bacterial small subunit ribosomal RNA
Source: RNAcentral